This 3013-nucleotide ribosomal RNA is filed under the name Candidatus Uhrbacteria bacterium CG_4_9_14_3_um_filter_41_35. RNAcentral's name for it is "bacterial LSU rRNA". It matches the Rfam family "Bacterial large subunit ribosomal RNA". Lineage: Bacteria; Candidatus Uhriibacteriota. The record is from RNAcentral.
AGAUUAUAAGAGUAUACGGAGGAUGGCUCGACAAAAUAUGACGAUGAAGGACGUGGCAGCCUGCGAAAAGUUUCGGUGAGGUGGCAAGCAACCUAUGACCCGGAAAUAUCCCAAUGGGGAAACCCAAUCAGGGGAAUGCCUGAUUAUUCUGCAGUGAAUACAUAACUGCAGGAGGUGAACUCGGCGAAGUGAAACAUCUCAGUAGCCGGAGGAAAAGAAAAUAAGGAAUACUAUCAUCAUCUCGGAUCUUGAAUUUUCGAGAAACGAGAUGAUGUUAUAGUGUUCUUAUUCCCCUAGUAGUGGCGAACGAACGGGGAACAGCCCAAACCUAUAUCAUGAAGUCCGCCAACGUUUCUCUUCGGAGAAGCUACGGCGAGGCGAAAGGUAUCAGCCGUUGUGGUAUAGGUGUAGUAAGUCCUUAUGUUCCAGUCUGAUAGCUGGAGAUAUGAUACAUAGCUUCUAGUAAAAUUUGCUGGAAAGCAAAACCAAAGAAGGUGAUAGUCCUGUAUGCGAAAGGAACUAUGUACAUUUGAUAAGUGAACUUGAGUACGGCGGAACACGUGAAAUUCUGUCGGAAUCAUCCGCGACUAUGCGGAAAGGCUAAAUACGUAUUUUGAUCGAUAGUGAACAAGUACCGUGAGGGAAAGCUGAAAAGAACCCCGGAAGGGGAGUGAAAUAGAAUCUGAAACCGUAUACUUACAAGGAGUCGGAGCCAAUUUAUUUGGUGACGGCGUGCCUAUUGAAGAAUGAGCCAACGAGUCUGUCUUUGUGGCAGGUUAAGUCCUUCGGGACGAAGCCAGAGUGAAAGCGAGCCUUAACGGGCGUUAGUCGCAAGGAUAGGACCCGAAACCGAGUGACCUAACCAUGGCCAGGGUGAAGCUUGUGUGAAAACAAGUGGAGGCCCGAACCCAAGCACCGUGCAAAAUGCUGGGAUGAGCUGUGGUUAGCGGAGAAAUUCCAAUCGAACUCGGUAAUAGCUGGUUCUCUCCGAGAUAUGUUUUGGCAUAGCGUCGGUUAAUAGCGUGAUGGGGGUAGAGCACUGAUUGGGUUCGACGUCAGCAAUGAUAGUCAACCUAGCCAAACUCCGAAUACCAUUACGUGUUCCCGGCAGUCAGACCAUGGGGGCGAAGCUCCAUUGGUCGAGAGGGAAAGAGCCCAGAUCUCAAGCUAAGGUCCCUAAAUUAUUACUAAGUGUAAAAGGUAGUGAGAAGACUCAUACAACCAGGAGGUUGGCUUAGAAGCAGCCAUCCUUUAAAGAUAGCGUAAUAGCUCACUGGUCAAGUUUUCUUGCGCCGAAAAUAUACCGGGGCUAAGUAAUAUACCGAAGCUGAGGGUGUGAUAAAUUUAUUUAUCACGCGGUAGGAGAGCAUUUCUAACUGCAUUGAAGCUGUACUGUGAGGUAUGGUGGAGCGUUAGGAAGGGAGAAUGUUGGCAUGAGUAGCAAAAAGACAUGUGAGAAUCAUGUCCACCGAAAAUCUAAGGUUUCCACAGCAACGAGAAUCGACUGUGGGUUAGUCUGGACCUAAGGCGAGGCCGAAAGGCGUAGUCGAUGGACAGUAGGUUAAUAUUCCUGCACCAGAUAUUAUUUCCGAUGGGGGGACGCUUGUUCGAAUUUCCUGUGCCCUAUGGCUAUGGCAUUGGGGGUUUGGGGUGGUCGUAUAGGUAAAUCCGUACGACAUAUACACUCUGAAUCAUCGCGACUCCAACUAUGUUGGGGAAGAGGAAAAGAGAAUGGGUCAAGAAAAUCCUCUAGGGCUAAGUAAUAUCUGCCAGUACCAAAACCGACACAGGUAGAUGGGUGUGAAAGCACUAAGGUGUACGAGAGAAACAUUGUUAGGGAACUCGGCAAAACAGCGGCCGUAACUUCGGGAUAAGGCCUGGUUCUUUUCGGGAGAAAAGGACCUUCAACAAAUGAUUGCAAGCGACUGUUUACCAAAAACACAGCUCCCUGCUAAACUGCAAAGUGAUGUAUAGGGGGUGAUGCCUGGCCAGUGUCCGAACGUUAAGGAAGGGGGUUAUCUACUUCGGUAGAGAAGCUUUUGACUGAAGCGCGGAUGAACGCCGGCCGUAACUAUAACGGUCCUAAGGUAGCGAAAUUCCUUGUCGGGUGAGUUCCGACCUGCACGAAUGGCAUAACGAUUUGCAAACUGUCCCAACAAUGUACUCGGCGAAAUUGCGGUAAGAGUGAAGAUGCUCUUUACGCGUAGUCGGACGAAAAGACCCCGUGAAGCUUUACUACAGGUUGUCAUUGGGUUCAUGUUCUAUAUGUUCAGUAAUAGGUGGGAGACCUUCGGGUCGCCAGUGAGAUACCACCCUUGUAUUGUGUGAAUCCUAACCAAGCACCAUGAAUCUGGUGUUUGGAACAGUGGCUGCUGGGUAGUUUGACUGGGGCGGUGGCCUCCUAAAAAGUAACGGAGGCGUCUACAAAGGUCAGCUAGGCCCGGAUGGAAAUCGGGUUGAUAGUGCAAACGCAUAAGCUGGCUUUACUGCAAGGAUGACAGUCCGCGCAGUUGCGAAAGCAGAGGUUAGUGAUCCGACCGUUCGAUAUAGGACGGCGGAAGCUCAACGGAUAAAAGCUACUCCGGGGAUAACAGGCUAGUCUUGCCCAAGCGUCCACAGCGACGGCAAGGUUCGGCACCUCGAUGUCGGCUCAUCGCAUCCUGGGGGUGAAGAAGCUCCCAAGGGUUAGGCUGUUCGCCUAUUAAAGCGGUACGCGAGCUGGGUUCAGAACGUCGUGAGACAGUUCGGUCUCCUAUCCACUACGCGCGUUGAAGAUUGAAGGAAUCUAUCCCUAGUACGAGAGGACCGGGAUGGACGAACCUCUAGUGUACCAGUUGUCCUGCCAAGGGCAUUGCUGGGUAGCCACGUUCGGUUCGGAUAAGCGCUGAAAGCAUCUAAGCGCGAAGUCGAUCCUGAGAUUAAUCUUCGUUAUGAGACACCUGAGAGACGAUCAGGUUGAUAGGCACUAGGUGUAAGCGUGGCAACACGUUCAGCCGAGGUGUACUAAUAAGUC